This is a long non-coding RNA of Mya arenaria, 881 nucleotides long. RefSeq lists it as uncharacterized. The transcript is spliced from 5 exons. The record is from RefSeq and is a predicted model, not a curated record. NCBI's taxonomy places the organism in Eukaryota, Metazoa, Mollusca, Bivalvia, Myida, Myidae.
GUUCAUUGGGUUUGUUUACAAAAAUUCAAGCAUCCGGUUAAGAAGACGACAAAUAAGAAUGGUAUUAAUGUUGGUAGAAUGGAACUCCUUCCUGAUUCCUGCACAUGUAAGUUACCAGAUACUCUUGAGGGACCAAUUUAAGGGCAAACAGACAAACGUUUUGAUGCAAAGAAAGCAUUGGAUUUGAAAGUUCCCAUGGAGAAGAAAAAUGGAGAGAUUCUAAAAGUAUGAAGAUACUCCUGUGUAUAAUGAGGAAAUCUUGUCAGUGAAUGUUGUUGCAAUUGUGGACCAGGUCAGAGUUGUACUAAACCAACUAAGACACAAUGAGAUACAGGAAUGACACAAUGAGAAACAGGAAACAGGAAAGUGAUGACUGAUCGCCACCUGUUACAAAUUCAUCUAGAAAACUCCCCACAUCCAACAAGAGACAGUCUGACUUCAAAAUCUUCAUUGAAGGCAACUUAAUGGACAAGACAUCCGUCACAUAAAGAUUCACUAAAAUUGGAAUGAUAUACCAAUUUUAACUUUUAACAGACAAAUACAUUAUAGAUUUGAAAAUAGAUUACCCUUAGAUAAGUUGGAUGAUUAACAUUUACCUCAACACAGUACAAAGUGCUCAUGUUGAACUAUUGUGAUUGAUCAUAGUCUGUCCUUCAUUUUUAUUAACAGUUUCAUACAGUGUUAACACUUAGUAUGGGGACUCAUUUUUAGCUCAACUUUUCGAAGAAUAUGGAGAGCUAUACUACUCACCCAAGCGUCGGCGUCGGUGUCACCCCUUGGUUAAGGGUUUGCGUGCAAGCACACAUAGGUUAAUAUCUCAGCAACUACUUGAGGUAUUGCAUUGAGACUUUAUACAAUGGUACUCAACCAUCCAACCUACU